Molecule: ribosomal RNA, 467 nt
Filed under: uncultured bacterium
Lineage: Bacteria
Description: partial 16S ribosomal RNA
Rfam family: Bacterial small subunit ribosomal RNA
Source: RNAcentral
GACGAACGCUGGCGGCGUGCUUAACACAUGCAAGUCGAACGGAAAGGCCCUGCUUUUGUGGGGUGCUCGAGUGGCGAACGGGUGAGUAACACGUGAGUAACCUGCCCUUGACUUUGGGAUAACUUCAGGAAACUGGGGCUAAUACCGGAUAGGAGCUCCUGCUGCAUGGUGGGGGUUGGAAAGUUUCGGCGGUUGGGGAUGGACUCGCGGCUUAUCAGCUUGUUGGUGGGGUAGUGGCUUACCAAGGCUUUGACGGGUAGCCGGCCUGAGAGGGUGACCGGCCACAUGGGGACUGAGAUACGGCCCAGACGCCUACGGGAGGCAGCAGUGGGGAAUAUUGCACAAUGGGCGGAAGCCUGAUGCAGCAACGCCGCGUGCGGGAUGACGGCCUUCGGGUUGUAAACCGCUUUCGCCUGUGACGAAGCGUGAGUGACGGUAAUGGGUAAAGAAGCACCGGCGAACUACGU